RNAcentral lists this ribosomal RNA (253 nucleotides) under uncultured bacterium. RNAcentral's name for it is "partial 16S ribosomal RNA". It matches the Rfam family "Bacterial small subunit ribosomal RNA", at positions 524 to 776 of the family's 1533-position model. The record is from RNAcentral.
UACAGAGGGCUCAAGCGUUGUUCGGAUUCAUUGGGCGUAAAGGGUGCGUAGGCGGCGCGGUAAGUCGGGUGUGAAAUCUCGGGGCUUAACUCCGAAACUGCAUUCGAUACUGCCGUGCUUGAGGACUGGAGAGGAGACUGGAAUUUACGGUGUAGCGGUGAAAUGCGUAGAUAUCGUAAGGAAGACCAGUGGCGAAGGCGGGUCUCUGGACAGUUCCUGACGCUGAGGCACGAAGGCCAGGGGAGCAAACGGG